This 335-nucleotide unclassified non-coding RNA is filed under the name soil metagenome. Its description in RNAcentral is "partial contains 5.8S ribosomal RNA, internal transcribed spacer 2, and large subunit ribosomal RNA". The stretch from base 1 to 120 matches the Rfam family "5.8S ribosomal RNA", at positions 35 to 154 of the family's 154-position model. The record is from RNAcentral.
GAUGAAGAACGUAGCGAAAUGCGAUAAGUAAUGUGAAUUGCAGAAUUCAGUGAAUCAUCGAAUCUUUGAACGCACAUUGCGCCCGCCAGUAUUCUGGCGGGCAUGCCUGUUCGAGCGUCAUUUCAACCAUCAAGCCCCCGGCUUGUGUUGGGGACCUGCGGCUGCCGCAGGCCCUGAAAACCAGUGGCGGGCUCGCUAGUCACUCCGAGCGUAGUAAUACAUCUCGCCCAGGGCGUGCUGCGGGUUCCGGCCGUUAAAAAGCCUUAUUUACCCAAGGUUGACCUCGGAUCAGGUAGGAAGACCCGCUGAACUUAAGCAUAUCAAUAAGCGGAGGA